CCUACGGGAGGCAGCAGUGAGGAAUAUUGGUCAAUGGUCGGGAGACUGAACCAGCCAAGCCGCGUGAGGGAUGAAGGUACAGAGUAUCGUAAACCUCUUUUGUCAGGGAACAAAGGCGGGGACGUGUCCCCGGAUGAGUGUACCUGAAGAAAAAGCAUCGGCUAACUCCGUGCCAGCAGCCGCGGUAAUACGGAGGAUGCGAGCGUUAUCCGGAUUUAUUGGGUUUAAAGGGUGCGCAGGCGGUCUCUUAAGUCAGCCGUCAAAGCCCGGGGCUCAACCCCGGCCCUGCCGUUGAAACUGGCAGUCUUGAGUUGGAGAGAAGUAUGCGGAAUGCGCGGUGUAGCGGUGAAAUGCAUAGAUAUCGCGAAGAACUCCGAUUGCGAAGGCAGCAUGCCGGCUCCACACUGACGCUGAGGCACGAAAGCGUGGGUAUCGAACAGGAUUAGAUACCCUUGUAGUC
RNAcentral lists this ribosomal RNA (460 nucleotides) under uncultured bacterium. RNAcentral describes it as "partial 16S ribosomal RNA". It matches the Rfam family "Bacterial small subunit ribosomal RNA", at positions 338 to 795 of the family's 1533-position model. The record is from RNAcentral.